This is an RNA transcript of Gossypium raimondii (Peruvian cotton), 831 nucleotides long. RefSeq lists it as uncharacterized. The transcript has 2 exons. Lineage: Eukaryota; Viridiplantae; Streptophyta; Magnoliopsida; Malvales; Malvaceae. The record is from RefSeq and is a predicted model, not a curated record.
GGGAAAUAUUCCCAACUCUCAAAACGCGGCGCUUUUGCGCUGGUCAAAAAUAUAAUAAAAAGCAAAUUAAAGGGCGAAAUUUAAAAAAGAAAAGAACUGAUUUGAACCCAGAACAAAAGAGAGAGGACCAGGAGUGAAAUUAUCCCUCCCCCUACCAAAACACGCGGAUCUAGCCGCGGUUGGAUCGGGUCAUCGGGUUUAAGGGCCAAUACGACGCCGUUUUGGGGCCACUGAGCAAGACCUCAAACGGCGUCGUUCUGAUUCAAUAUAAAGCAAAAAAAAAAAACCCUAAACUAAACAGUUUUCAGCCACUUUGGAUGCCAUAGCCGCAAGGUUCAAAGAUGAGACCUCUCACCUUUCGCCAGACUCCGAUUACGGCGGAGUUAGCGGAGGCGCGAUCACCAGGUCGUUGCAGGUGUACGGAGGCCGUACAGUGACGCGUGCGAGGAGCGGCUUGAAGGUGUGGUGGCGCACGCACGAGAGGAGGCCUGGCUCUGCUGCGGCACUGGAGUUUAUUGUCUAAGGUUUAUUUCUCAGCUAGGCUAAGUUGUUGGGCCUCCAAUAUUGGGCUAGGGUUAGCUAGUUUGGACUUUAGUAGGUUUUGGGUUUAAUUUCUGGUAUGUAAUUAGGUAAAAAUGAUUUGGGCCACGUUGGGCCCAUGUAUUUGGACUAUGGACUUUUAAACUUUGGCUUGGUUUAUUUUAUUAACGGGUCGGGUAAAUUGGGCCUAUUACAGUAUCUUUGUAAACUAACUUUAAUGGUCACUAAAUUAAACAUUAAAUGCUAAUAGUAUCGAUACUCGUAGAAAAAAUAUCGAUACCUUUUGUUGUA